GUCAGUAAAUGACCACAAAGAGACACAAAAUGACCAAAAGCCACCAAACUACAUUGAGACCAAAAUCACCUCAAAAAGUUGCAAAAUAAUCACAGCAAGAAGCAAAGUGACUAUUGAGCCUAUAAAAAGACAAAAGUUCUAAGUUUAUAAAUGAAAAGUAAGACUUUUUUGAAUUCGGUGCUUCUUGUGAAUUGACGCUAUAUAAAUAAAAUUUGACUUGACUUGACUUAAAACUUUUUACUGCAGAUACUCUGAGCACCUACAAAACCUCCCUGUUACAGGACUUAUUUCAGGCUACAUUAACAAGCUGAGUAUAACUCACUACCAUAGGUUAAAAAAGGAUCUUACAAGCAGAUUUUCAUGUGACCCACUCUUGAUCAGCACAUGAUGAAAGACAGCAAAAAAGGGAAAACAUCUAUAAGCCACUGAGCCGUCUGCUGAGCUGAGGCAUCCAGUUAUCAUCAGACAUCAUCAGCAUGUUGUCUGAACAUAACAGGAAGUCCCACAGUUGUGAGUUACAUAAUAAAAAAAAUGUUCUUCCCCUCCUUGAAGUCAACGACAGAUCUGAUAUGACUGGACUGACGAAGGUGCAUCAGAUCAGGGAUUUCUACCGAGGCAUGUUGGUGUCUCUUCAAACACCAGCCACCUUUUCAUGGCUCCCUAGCAGACUCACAGGCGGACGAUAUUGAUGAUGAAGGCCGGGCCGAGCACCAGGGCCAUCAGCCCCGCUCCACUGGUGCUAUGUGCGGCGACGCUGCCGAGCCGAGGCGGCCGCUCGGAGUCGCGGGGAGGCGGGGAAGCAGGAACAGGCGCUUGACCCACCGGUGUAAACAAUCCUCAUUUAUGGCUGCUGUUUCUGCUGCUGCUGUCUGUGCUGCACGGAGGUCCCCGGCGACCUUCUGAGCCAUACACCACCCACAGAAGCCUCCCUCCUCCCCGGUCUGCAAAAACACAAGCCUCCCGGAGAGGCAGCCAGACAGCUGAACACAGAUUUCACAGGAAGUCGGUGCCUGUCUCUCCUCCUCUCAGAUGCAGAAGUGGAGGAGAAGCUGCUUCCUCAGCAUCAACAGCAACCAGCAGCCCUCCUCGCUGCUGCCACCCACUGGAAACAACUGCAUCAUCCAAAAAUAAUAAAACAUGGUGCAUGAAAAAUGAAUAGGCACACAGAUGUAGUGGAAUGUAAAGAGACCACUCUCACAGACUGAUGCGGGUUAUAUGAGGAUUAGAUCUCUUUUAAAGGGGCAUGCCACUGUUUUUCCUCUGUAAAGUACAAUUAUGGCGGCCCUGAGGUGUAAAACACAAUGAUACAGGACCAAAUAAAGGAUCAGUGUGUAA
Molecule: long non-coding RNA, 1335 nt
Organism: Lates calcarifer (barramundi perch)
Lineage: Eukaryota; Metazoa; Chordata; Actinopteri; Centropomidae
Exons: 2
Source: RefSeq, a predicted model, not a curated record